RNAcentral lists this long non-coding RNA (4460 nucleotides) under Sus scrofa (pig). RNAcentral describes it as "lncRNA (ENSSSCG00050003880.1)". The record is from RNAcentral. Lineage: Eukaryota; Metazoa; Chordata; Mammalia; Artiodactyla; Suidae.
GUAAUUGGAGAAAAGACCAGUCAGUCUGACAGGGAGCUGCCAUGUUUGGCCUCCAAGGGAAGGAAGCCCUAGAGGGGUUUACAGGACAUAUACUUGUCAUUGGGAAUUUCCUUGAUGCAGUGGUAGCUUGUAAUUAUGCUACUAGGCAAGAUACCCCUGAGAUCAUGGCAUAGAGGGGCUCACCCUAAAUUAAUAUGCUUGAAACAUAUAGCUAAUCGAAUCCUUUCAAAAACAGCUAGAAGAAGAGGGGACAGAUGUGAUAGGGAGGGAACUACACUCAAGGUAGGGUGCAGGGGCCACAUUACCUGAUCCUGUGGCCCACUAUUCACACAUCCUCUCUCUCUCUUCCUCAACAGCCGUCCCCACUGAUGGCGAGUUAUACAGAUGAGAUGAGAUUUAAACAAGAAGGUUCAGCCCAAAGGUGCCUGAAACCAGCCCAAGCUUGCUGUAUCACAGAGAUACAGAGCAAGUCCCCUGACCAAUAGCAAUGCCGAUUUGCCUGAAAAGCCACUAUGGAUUUUAUCUAUAUUCCUUAGGCAAAGGGUACAUGAUACCAGAAAUAGUAACACUACUGGGGGCGGGGGGUGUCAACUUAAGACCACAUGAAUACUGAAUGUCUCAUAUUCCUCACGUGCAUCUAAAGGUUCAUGAAUAUUUGUUGCCUCUUUGUCCUUCUGGCCUUUUCUAUGUUGAGCAAUACAUGCUUUACUAGCUUUCUCCAUGUCUAACCUGUCUCAUGGAUUCCUAACUUACUUACUUAACCUAACACACUUUUGUCAAUGUUUCAUGAGCUACUCGUUCUCCAUUAUCUAUAUCUCACAUAUCUCAGGAGUUUCAUCCAUUUUACUGUUUUCUUGUCUUCUAGAGCAGAGCUGAAUAUUCUCAAAGAAUACAGCAAAUACACAUUACAGCGUUGACUGCCUGUAUGCUGAUUCCCUUAAAUUCUAGAAGGUAUUUUUUCCACUCAUCACUUUUGCCAUCUGCCCAUCAAUGCAAUACAUGUACAGUGAACACCUACUAAGUGUCAGGCACUGAUCUAGGCUGUGGGAAUGUGUGGAAGAAGAUGAUACAGUCUAGUCUGAAAAGAUGGCAGUUUAAUACUGAAGAGAGACAAAAAAGAUCAGUACCAACAUCACAUGUCAUGGGUUUGGUAAUAAACUGGGGAGCAGAGAAGAGUGGGGCGGAAGAACCACAGGGUCCUGUCCACAGGGUGUGUAGGGGUGGGAGAGACAGUAAUAUGGCUUCUUAGAGGAUGUGGUGCCAGAGCUGCGUCUUGAGCGAUGACUGUGUUUCCCAGGCAGAGGGGAGAGGAAGGGCCAUCCAGACAGAGGGAGCAGGGUGAGCACAGCCAUGGACGUGCUGAAGGACCCCAGGCCAGGCGGGGGCAGGGAGAGGAGACCAGGCAGUGGGAUGCAUUGAAUUCUAAAAGAACAUCAGUCUGUGCCUUUACGUGCUUGACCCCAUACUCUUCAGCGUGUGAUGGGUCCCUCUCUGAAUUGUGUGAUUUAUCAUUUGGGACAUGGAAAUAAUAACCGUAAACUCAAAAGAUCAUCCUGGGGAUUGGGAGGUCGUUGAUAGAAGUGCUUAGCUCUCUCUGUCUGGUACCUAGAAAUCCUCCCCAAAUGGUAACAUCACUAAUAUAGUCAUCCAUCACAUCCCAACUUCCCAGAGGAUCGAGUGAGAUCUAAUGGGAUUUUGAUAAUCAGACUACCUGGUCAUUCAUAGAAUGCCUAGUGGUAUUCCGAGAAACAUUCGGACAGUAGCAUUUGUCCAUCCUUAGAGUAAAAUGAACUUAUAAUGGUAACCUGGAUAGGUAAUCAUACCUAAGCCAUACUCUGAAGUUCCCUAGAAAUAGUAACAAUGAUCCUAUCCUGUGAAUCCAUUAGUCUGUCCAAAAUGUAGAAGGAUGCAGUCUGUUGAAUAUUGUGACAGCUAGGAAAUUGGAAACCUGUACAUUUCUAAGUUAACAUCAUGUAAUAUUGGAAAUGCUUAUCUUGAAACAAUGGCUCGGACCAGGCGCUGGGGGAACAAUGCUGUGAGGUCCUGGCUGCCUAGCUGGGUCAAGGCUGGGGAGACAGUGACUUGUCUUUGUUUUCGGGCUGACAGAGGGACAAUGGGAAGUGUCUAGAGAUGAUUUAUGCUGCCAGCAUCUUCAAAAAUGAGAGACGAUGGAGGGAAAAACACUGCCCUGGGCGGGGCUGAUGGUGUGAGGAAAUGAUGAUUCAGUUCAUUGCUUUGACCCAAGCGGUGCUUUGUUUAAAAUUGCACAGGGCAAUUCCUUCAGCCUCAGAAAGAGAAACAACCCUUGUCAAUAAAUUAUAGCGGAUGUGGGGAAAUCGCUCCCAGGGUGAGGUCUGAGACUGAAUGAGUCCUACGAGGUCAGUGCCCACAAAAGCAGCUGCCAAAAUGUACAUUUUUCCGUUUGCCCGCUGGUUCACAGUGGAUAUAAAUCCUCAUAAUGCAGCCAUUGAGCCCCCUGUCUGCUGGCCGCGCACUGAGAUAAAGGUGGGGGAAGGGCAUACGACCCUUAGCUGCUAGAAGUGCCUGACAAACACAGGCUCUGCUUCAGAAUAACCUGGGUGCUCUUGGCAUCUUUUCUAGAUUUCGGGAAUCUUCUGGGAAAUGUCAGUCCUUGAUUAGAAAUAAUUAACGUGUACUUCACGCCCAAACUAUGUUUGGAGGACAAAAAUAUUUAAAUCUGUAAAGAUAUAUUUUAAUUAUAAAAUUAUGCAUAUAUGUAUGCUGCAAAACUUUCAAGAGAACUUAAGUGCAGACAAAAUAAAGUGAAAGCCCUUCUCUUCUUAUUUCUCUAUGAAGCCAAGGGCUUAAUGCUUCCUUUGUCUUAUUUCCUCAUAAAGAUGUGGAAGCACAGGGCUGACACUGGUCUCCGAGAAGAGCAGAGAGACUUGACUUUAGUCAUGCUGGGGGGGUGGGGACUGAUUCACACACCAAUUUUUGUCUACGACCGUUGGCAAUCCAUCUUUCUUAUGUUGGAAUAGAAUUUUCCAGUUGACAAAGCACUUUCAAGUACAUUCAACUUGACAGAUAUCCUAUAAAAUACGAGGAUGGAGAAGGGUCAUUACAUUGGAUUAGUGCUGGUUUCCCGAUAACAAAACUGAGGCUCUGAGAGCAGAGUCCUUGGCCAAGGUCACCUAGCACAAGGCAGAGCCAGAACUAGCACACUGGGCUGUGACACACCUAUUCCCUCCAGUUCCCUGAGAAGGCCAUUUGGAGGCCAGCCUGUAGUGUAUAGAGUGACUUGGGCUGCACAGAUCAGGGCUAGGGCCAGGCUCUGGUUCAGAGAAGUCUCUCAGCAAACAGGUCACCAUUAGUAUUACAGCAUCUUUAAAUAUUAUCCCUUCUACCUUUACCACUGUGACUGUAUCUCAACCCAGAUUUGGACCUAGUAUGGCUGAUGAAGCUAAUCAUACUGACCUAAAAUGAUUCUGAAGUCCAGGACAAAAAGUUUUUUUUCCCUUACCAAGAUGAUCUAUAUUUAGGGAAGUGUAACUCUUCCCCUAUAUCCCUUUCUCAUUAUUUCGAGUCAGGAAUGAUUUCGCUUGAGAAACAGUCAGGCCAGUUUCAUCUAUAACUGCAUUGGAAUGAAGAGGAUAAUGGAAAUUUUAAUGAAAACGCCAACGCAGUGAGAAUAGGAAUCAGUUCUUUUGCAAGAGGAAGCAGCGCCUUUGCUCAACAGGCAACAAAACCUUUAGUUUGUGUUCAUGAAAAUUAUGAUCAUCUCUGGCUCCACUGAGAUUUAAACCAAGGGGGAAAAAAAAGAAUUUAAGAAGUUCAGAUGCAGUUCACUGGGAAGUUUGUCUCCAGACUUUGAGAACAUUUCAAUUUUUCACAAGGGCACACAAAGCAAGAGGUUGGUGUCUUGCAUAAAAGAACCCAGAUUCUCUGGAUCACAAGGAUGCUAGUUGUCUUGCUCUGUCGCUCAUGACUAUGAAACAGCAGGAUUAGCAAUGACAUGCAGGACUCAUCCUAAUCAGCCUCAAGGGCUGUGCCACGAAUGGGACUGCACUGCAGCAACAUUACUCUUCUGUCAAUGUCUAAUGCAUGUGCUUGGUGGGUCCUACCUGGGGGGAGGGGGAGGUAGGAGUGAGAUGUGUGUUGUGUGAGUUUGGGAAACAAAGAGUCCAAGCUUGAUUAACUGUUAUGCCUAAGCCAGUCUGGGGAACCAACAACUAGAGGCUUCAAGGAGAGGUGCACAGUUUCAAAGCUGCUGCCAAGGAGUGGCAGGUGGAGGCCAUGGUGUCUGUCCACCACCCAGUCUGCCAAUGGAAAAGAGGAGAAUGCAGUUUCACAGAAGUGUCACCAUCUGAGCUCCUCAUAUUAUGUAUGGCAGAUGCUAUUCUAUCAUUUGCUAGAACAACUCGCAGAACUCAGGGAAACCCUUACUGAUAUUUACUGGCUCAUCAAAUAAUAGGGAGUAUUAUAAAGUAUACAGAUGAACA